CUGAAAAAUUCUCUAAUCCAGCUAUUUUGAAUUUUACAUUUCUAUUUAGUGAAUAACACCGAAAGUGUUAACUGUGUUUGGAACAAACAUGCUUUACUCUUUCAGAGUACAUGUUUUGAAAGGAAAGGCCAGAGGAUCCACUCAGUGGAGGGAAAGUGUAUUACAGCAGGCAAUAAGAGCGAUAAAAUCAGAAACAUUAACAUUUAAAAUGUGUUGAAACUUUUCAGAAUAUUGAAGUUGCAUCUUAUAAUCUUGAUUAAGUGCUACUUCACUGAUGUUACAAAUAAAACAGUAAUGUCUUAUCUUAAUAAUUAGAUUUUAAUAAUAACGUAAAAUCCAUAGAUCCAAGUUUUAACAAUUAUGUCUGGGAUUUGACACCAUUGCACAGCUAUGGAUAGCAUAGUAUUGUUGUAUUGGAGUCAGUGGAGCAUUAUAUCUGGAAUGGAAAGUAUUAGGGGUUUUUAUCCAC
This is a non-coding RNA of Pelobates cultripes (western spadefoot toad), 469 nucleotides long. NCBI's taxonomy places the organism in Eukaryota, Metazoa, Chordata, Amphibia, Anura, Pelobatidae. The record is from the annotation of a GenBank genome assembly.